ACAGUAUAUUAGUCCUUUCGUUUGGUUCGGGUAUAAACAAGAACUGCCUAUUUCAAAAAUAGGUAUAAGUUUAGGUAUAAACCUAGAAUAUAUCAAUUUUGUGUUUGGAUAAAAAUUAAAUUAUUUUCGAAAAUAAAAAAAUAGUGUUUAAAUACACAAGAUGAAAUAAAAAGAAAUUGUGGGUAAUUAUAAAUAAAAAAUAAUUAUAUUGCCCCUACAUUGUAUUUGAAUUUAAAUUUUUAAAGUUUAUAUUUAAAUUUUUAAAUUUAAAUAUGUAACUUUUAAAUUAAAAAAAUUAAAAUUAAAUUUAAAAUUUUAAAUCUCAAAUUCAAAAUUUUAAAGUUCUAAAUUUUAAAUUUUAGAUUAAAUCAAAAUUUAAAUAUAUAGAAUAUCAAAUCUUAAAUUUAAAAAAAUUUAAAAUAUCAAUUUAAAAUUUAGAAGUUAAAAUUAUAAAAUUUUAAUUUUAUAAUUACAAAUUAUAAAUUAAAGUUUAAAAUAUAAAUACAAAUUUAAAUUUUUUUUAAAAAUAAAUAGGGGUGGUAACAGCUGUUCCACCUC
Molecule: long non-coding RNA, 558 nt
Filed under: Ananas comosus (pineapple)
Lineage: Eukaryota; Viridiplantae; Streptophyta; Magnoliopsida; Poales; Bromeliaceae
Description: long non-coding RNA (ACOM_LNC012814)
Source: RNAcentral